AAGAAGUUUUAUUCUUGCUUUUUCAUUCAGUUUUUGUUUGUUCUAUAUGUGAGUUUUUGCGUGUAUUUGUCUUUGUUCUUGAUGGUUAUUGGGUGUGUUAUGGUUAAAUUUUUUUCAUUAGUUGUUAUUGGUUAAUCAAGUGUUCUUGUAUCUAGCAAUUCGUUUAUAGUUUCGGUUAAAUUUUGUGCCAGCAGCCGCGGUUAUACCUUGGGGGCGUUUGAAUGUGUUUGGUGUUAAUGGUAGUUUUAUGUUUAUUUAUUUGGUUUUGUUUUUAUUUGUUUAUUUAGGUGAAAUUUCUAUAAUUUAUUAAUGUUUAAUUUUUUGUUUGGAGGCUAUGAAAUUCUUAUUUUAGACUAGGAUUAGAUACCCUAUUAUUUUUGAUCGUUAAUUUUGGUGCCUGAGUAGUAUUAGUUAUGUUCUUGAAACUUAAAGAAUUUGGCGGUAUCUUAUUCCAUUCAGAGGAAUCUGUCUCGUUAUCGAUAGUCCGCGUUGGACCUUACUUGGGAGUAUUAAGUGGUUUGUAUACCGCCGUUUAUUGAUUAUCUUUUUAGAGUCUGGUAAAUUUUCUGGUUUCUUUAUUUUGAUUUAUUUCAGGUCAAGGUGCAGCUUUUUCUAAGUGUAGGAUGGAUUACAUUGUUAUUUGUUGUUUGGAUUGUUUGGGUUUAAAUUAUUUGCAUGAAAUUGGAUUUGGUUGUAAUGUUUAUGUAGAUUGUUUUCAUGAUAAUAGGUUCUAAGAUAUGUACACAUCGCCCGUCGCUCUCGUUUAGAUUUGUUAAUGAGAUAAGUCGUAACAAAGUGGCUGUACCGGAAGGUGUGGCUGGAUUGAU
This 827-nucleotide non-coding RNA is filed under the name Acanthotermes acanthothorax. Lineage: Eukaryota; Metazoa; Arthropoda; Insecta; Blattodea; Termitidae. The record is from RNAcentral.